RNAcentral lists this ribosomal RNA (254 nucleotides) under uncultured bacterium. Its description in RNAcentral is "partial 16S ribosomal RNA". It matches the Rfam family "Bacterial small subunit ribosomal RNA", at positions 524 to 776 of the family's 1533-position model. The record is from RNAcentral.
UACGGAGGGGGCUAGCGUUAUUCGGAAUUAUUGGGCGUAAAGGGCGUGUAGGCGGCUUCGUAAGUCUCAUUGUGAAAGCCCUCGGCUCAACCGAGGAACUGCAUGGGAAACUGCGGAGCUUGAGUCCGGGAGAGGAGAGCGGAAUUCCCAGUGUAGCGGUGAAAUGCGUAGAUAUUGGGAGGAACACCGGUGGCGAAGGCGGCUCUCUGGACCGGUACUGACGCUGAGACGCGAAAGCUAGGGGAGCAAACGGG